UACGUAGGGUGCAAGCGUUGUCCGGAAUUAUUGGGCGUAAAGAGCUCGUAGGCGGUUUGUUGCGUCGGCUGUGAAAUCCCAAGGCUCAACCUCGGGUCUGCAGUCGAUACGAGCAAACUAGAGUGUUGCAGGGGAGACUGGAAUUCCUGGUGUAGCGGUGAAAUGCGCAGAUAUCAGGAGGAACACCGGUGGCGAAGGCGAGUCCCUGGACAACACCUGACACUGGAGGCACGAAAGCUAGGGGAGCAAACAGG
RNAcentral lists this ribosomal RNA (254 nucleotides) under uncultured bacterium. Its description in RNAcentral is "partial 16S ribosomal RNA". It matches the Rfam family "Bacterial small subunit ribosomal RNA", at positions 524 to 776 of the family's 1533-position model. The record is from RNAcentral.